UGCGUAGGCGGGCUAAUAAGUCAGUGGUGAAAUCUCUCGGCUCAACCGGGAAACUGCCAUUGAUACUGUUAGUCUUGAGUUCGGUUGAGGUAGGCGGAAUGUGUAAUGUAGCGGUGAAAUGCUUAGAUAUUACAUAGAACACCAAUUGCGUAGGCAGCUUACUAGACCGACACUGACGCUGAGGCACGAAAGCGUGGGGAGCGAACAGGAUUAGAUACCCUGGUAGUCC
Molecule: ribosomal RNA, 229 nt
Filed under: uncultured bacterium
Lineage: Bacteria
Description: partial 16S ribosomal RNA
Rfam family: Bacterial small subunit ribosomal RNA
Source: RNAcentral